Non-coding RNA from Lepisosteus oculatus (spotted gar), 327 nucleotides. Lineage: Eukaryota; Metazoa; Chordata; Actinopteri; Semionotiformes; Lepisosteidae. The record is from RefSeq and is a predicted model, not a curated record.
GAAGGGCUUUUGUGAUUUCAAUGGCUCUCACUCUCUCCCAGGUAUGGGCAGAGCUGAGCCAGGCUUGCAUAGGCUGAGGAAAACAAGGAAAAGACAGAGCUGGGCUUUGGCUGGGAAGCUGGGGGCCCCAGUGUGACUGGAGCUCAGCACGGUCUGAGAGAUCAUCCCCACACUGUGGCACAGGAUCAGUCUGAUGCUGGAGUCCUGCAGGGGGCAGACAGGCACUCCUGGAGUCUUUCAGAGCAGGAGCCCUCCUGGUGCUUUGAGAGCAACAUGCCUAUGAGUAAAGGAUGAGAGCGAUGGUAAAAUCACUCUUCAGGGAAAACC